This 364-nucleotide ribosomal RNA is filed under the name uncultured eukaryote. Its description in RNAcentral is "partial 18S ribosomal RNA". It matches the Rfam family "Eukaryotic small subunit ribosomal RNA", at positions 592 to 976 of the family's 1831-position model. The record is from RNAcentral.
CAAAAGCGUAUAUUAAAGUUGUUGCAGUUAAAAAGCUCGUAGUUGAACCUUGGGCUUGGCUGGCCGGUCCAUCUUUUUUGAUGCGUACUGGACCCAGCCGAGCCUUUCCUUCUGGCUAGCCUUUUGGUGAACCAGGACUUUUACUUUGAAAAAAUUAGAGUGUUCAAAGCAGGCCUUUGCUCGAAUAUAUUAGCAUGGAAUAAUAGAAUAGGACGUUAUGGUUCUAUUUUGUUGGUUUCUAGGACCAUCGUAAUGAUUAAUAGGGACGGUCGGGGGUAUCAGUAUUCAGUUGUCAGAGGUGAAAUUCUUGGAUUUACUGAAGACUAACUACUGCGAAAGCAUUUACCAAGGACGUUUUCAUUAA